Pocillopora damicornis (cauliflower coral) is the source of this 2834-nucleotide long non-coding RNA. RefSeq lists it as uncharacterized. Lineage: Eukaryota; Metazoa; Cnidaria; Anthozoa; Scleractinia; Pocilloporidae. The record is from RefSeq and is a predicted model, not a curated record.
UGAAAACCCCAUUCAGCUGCAGCUUUUAUCGACAAAAUAGGUGUUUGGACGAUAAUUUUAGCCCAGUUUUUUUUUUAAAUAGCGUGAUUCUUUCAAAGAAUCACGCACGGUAUCUCUAUUUGGAAAGGGAACAUGUAGAAUUGAACCAGGAGACAGUAAGGCUAUUUUGACAUUGUCGUUGAGGUUCCUCUGUUGUUCCAUAUUUUACCUACCACUGUUAGCAGCCUCCCCGAGGUUUGAAUCAAUAACAAAAUAACAUGAUAAAUAGCAUAAAGAUGUGAACAAAUAUGAUAAUAAGUUCGCUAACAAGGUCUUCUUGCAGCGAGCUAACUAUGAUAAAUGUGCUGUAGAGAAGGAUGCCUUAGAUGCAGGCUUUGGAUGAUGACAGAUGUCUUAGAAGAUUCCUUUACUCAAAUUCUUGUACCUCAGGGAAUUUUCCAAACCUCAAUAUUUCAACGACGAACCAAACCUUUACAAUUAAAAUAUUUUACCCUGCUCUCUAUAACUGCAUUGCAUAUUGAUUAACCUUUUUUUUUAAUUGUUUCAAAAUUUCCUUGAGAUUCCCAUUUUCACCCUAGCCUUUCCGUGGGGUUUGCAACAAUACAAAUGGUGUCUGAACGAUAAUUAGUUUGUAAAGUGGACGUUAGCAUGCAACUUGGCAAGUUUUCUAUUCAUUAUCUUUGUAAUGAGAUUACUGAAGAUUUCCUGCCCUAAGUCAAGUGCACGUGUGCACAAAAUGCCGUUAAACCAAUGAUAUGUCGCCCAUCUACGCAUGACAAAUAGAAUUGAAGUAAAACCUUUGUUCCAGAAGGUGCUUGUGGCAUAGUUGAGUAAAAAGAUGGCUGUUUGUUCGAUUUGCUUAUGUGAAUAUGUUGAUGGGGACAACUGAAACCAAACGUAUAAUUUCUAGGAGUUAAAAGUCUUUGGGUAAGAGCAGUGUUCGGCAUUGUUAUUGGCUGGAUGCGUUUCAUAUGAAGAUGGAUUCUAGAAGAUAUCAUUUGUGUAGUGAUGGAGGUUCGAUCUGAACGCGUUUUAUGGUGAUAUGCAUCGCCCUUCUUGUUCUUGAGUCAAGUCAGAACAGGAAGCUGUGGUCCUGAAUCCUUCCUGAGAACGAGAGGAAUUUAAAACCACAUUCAGUUUUUGUCUGCAUAUAUCAAAAGGCUCUUUGUGGGAGUUCAAGAUUACUUCACAGCGUAAUUGGAGUGGAAUGUCUUACAGCGUGCAAAGGGCUCCCUCGCUGCCAAUGGCGGUCAUCUACUGCAGACAGAUAAGACUCACCCAAGGAAAACGACAAAUAAUUCUACACUAUAAUUAAUUGACUCUUCCAUUUUCCAAUUAAAGCACUCAGCUUUGACUGGCAUCGGGUAUUUUCUGCUUAGACAGGAAAUAACUUUGGUUUUAGUUUAGUAAACGUUAAAUUAAGAAUUUAUCAAGAAACUCAUAGUUCAAGACAUAUCUUGAAACGUGAGAUUUCUAAGGUUCACUCUAUCUCCUUUCGUUUGAGAGAAAGGAAACAUUUUGUCCUAUAACUACCCUUAUAACGUCUCUGUAGUGAACAAACUACGACUAGAUAUCAGAAUAGAGCAAUUAAAAGCGAUUUCAGUUUUAGAAUUGUCGUUAGAUAGGUAAAUGGUUUAGCACAAACACAGACAGAAGUUUUCAGUGAUUUAUGACCUCUUUGCGAAAGUAUAAUUAUCUUCACCUCUGAGUAGUUGAGCAAUUAUUGCCUUUGACGGAAUUGGUCUACUUUCUUAUAUGUUGUACAAUAAUUUGCAACCGUCAAUCAAGAUUUUGCAGCACAAAUGUGAAAGGUUUGGCUGCCAUUGAAGUAAAGAUUGAAUUGAAAUUAUUUUGAAUAGGAGUUGCUCACUAGUUGUGUAAAUAGGUGUUUGAUGGCAAAGCGCCGCUUCAUUUUUGAGUUUACUUAUUAUUCAUUUCUACUCUCAUUGCAAACUUUUCAUCCAAAUUUCUUGUAGGCCUUUCCUCAUCAAGGACAAUUUCUUCUCCAUCACACAAAGUACGCUGGCUGUUUUCGUUUGCAUUUGCAGUUACGGUUCCCUUUGUUGUCAGACAAGAUGGCUUCCCGCGAGUUUCAGUGAUUUAUGAACCCUGACACGUCUUAGACGAUCGUCUUUGGAUGUCAAAAGAGUUAAAUUUAGAUUUUCACUUAAAGUUCUGAACGAAAUUAUUACUUAGAGAUGAGCGGAAACAGUCAGGGUACUGCUUGUCUGGAUAAGAAGGAAAACCGUGACUGUUAUGGAGAGUUUUUUAAUGAAAAUCAAUGGCUGCUUUGUAUCGCACAUUUGAGCUGUCUUUGGAGUGGCACUGUCACUACUGUUUUGUGGACAAUAUUGUGUAAUUUUUUUAUGAGGAAGUUAUUCUCCUAAAUUCUUACCAAAGCUGAUAGGCAAGUAUUUUAUAUAACUAUGAUAAGAAGAUGGAAGUGCCAUCAAAAUGGCGUACUCUUUUCUAAUGGAAAGAAUUCACUUCGUUAAGUUUAAAACGUUGCCUUUAACUUAGCUUUAGGACUUUGUUUCAAUUAAAGAAUCUAUCAACACAAUUUCUCUUUUACUGAAGUCGAAUGCCGUAGAGUGCCCAUAGAAAUAAAUAAAGACAGUUUAAAAUAGAAGAGUUCAGAAAGACAGCUCCUAAAGCGUGCCUCAUACUUCCCUUACGCUCGUAGAAUUCACGACUAAAACAGCGACAAACAAGGUAUACAUAGAGAGACGUAUGAAAAUAUCUUUUAUUACCUACAGGAGAGUAACAUCUAACAAGUGCUAUGUGACCUGUAUUUUAAAGUUAUCCUUCGAAGCAAUAAACGUAGAAAACGAGAA